RNAcentral lists this non-coding RNA (209 nucleotides) under Staphylococcus aureus. RNAcentral's name for it is "GlcN6P sequence". It matches the Rfam family "glmS glucosamine-6-phosphate activated ribozyme aptamer". From Rfam's summary of the family: This entry contains a glucosamine-6-phosphate activated ribozyme that is found in the mRNA for GlmS. GlmS is an enzyme that uses fructose-6-phosphate and glutamine to generate glucosamine-6-phosphate. The ribozyme catalyses self cleavage of the glmS mRNA that is thought to regulate GlmS activity. Lineage: Bacteria; Bacillati; Bacillota; Bacilli; Caryophanales; Staphylococcaceae. The record is from RNAcentral.
AGGAAACUUAUAGCGCCUGAACAAAGCGCAUACACGAUUGUAGAGGCAUGUAUAAUCAGAUACAUGCUGAAUGAGUGUUAUGACCUUUGUUGACGAGGAGGAUAGUUAUCGAAUUUUCGGCGGAUGCUAUCCCGGAUGUGGCCCAUUCGAAGUUCAAUGUUUAAAGCAUAUAGGUGACUGUAUGUCCAAAGACGUUGAAAUAGCCAUAA